Molecule: ribosomal RNA, 447 nt
Filed under: uncultured bacterium
Lineage: Bacteria
Description: bacterial SSU rRNA
Rfam family: Bacterial small subunit ribosomal RNA
Source: RNAcentral
GAUGAACGCUGGCGGCGUGCUUAACACAUGCAAGUCGAACGAAGCACUUAUCUUUGAUUCUUCGGAUGAAGAGGUUUGUGACUGAGUGGCGGACGGGUGAGUAACGCGUGGGUAACCUGCCUCAUACAGGGGGAUAACAGUUAGAAAUGACUGCUAAUACCGCAUAAGACCACAGAGCCGCAUGGCUCGGUAGGAAAAACUCCGGUGGUAUGAGAUGGACCCGCGUCUGAUUAGGUAGUUGGUGGGGUAACGGCCUACCAAGCCAACGAUCAGUAGCCGACCUGAGAGGGUGACCGGCCACAUUGGGACUGAGACACGGCCCAAACUCCUACGGGAGGCAGCAGUGGGGAAUAUUGCACAAUGGGGGAAACCCUGAUGCAGCGACGCCGCGUGAGCGAAGAAGUAUUUCGGUAUGUAAAGCUCUAUCAGCAGGGAAGAAAAUGACGG